Molecule: ribosomal RNA, 432 nt
Filed under: Poecilomigas abrahami
Lineage: Eukaryota; Metazoa; Arthropoda; Arachnida; Araneae; Migidae
Description: partial 16S ribosomal RNA
Rfam family: Bacterial large subunit ribosomal RNA
Source: RNAcentral
UUCUAAUUGCUGUAAUAAUUAGUAAGACCUGCUCAAUGAAAAUUAAAUAGCCGCAGAUUUACAUGUGCUAAGGUAGCAUAAUCAUUUGCCUUAUAAUUGAAGGCUAGAAUGAAAGGUUUAACAUGUAAAUACCUUUAUUAAACAGAUUACUAAAAAUUAAUAUUCAAGUAAAAAAUCUUGAAUAAUUAAGAGGGACGACAAGACCCUAUCGAGCUUUACUAUUUUGUUUCACUGGGGAGGUGAAAAAACUAUAUCUUUUUUUCCUAAUUAACCUUUUUAAAAGAAUCAUGAACAAGUUACCGUAGGGAUAACAGCACAAUUUUUCUUUAGAGAUCUUAUCAUAAGAAAAGAUUGUGACCUCGAUGUUGAAUAAUUAAUCUUUUAGGAGCAAGAUCUUAAUAAGAAAGUCUGUUCGACUUUUGAUUUAUUACA